GUGAAUCAUCGAAUCUUUGAACGCAAAUUGCACUCUCCUCGGAGAGUAUGCCUGUUUGAGGGUCAGCCUAAAAAAAAAAAUCGACAUCGUUGCUGUUUCGCGGUGACGUUAGUCGGAAAUUUGUUCGUUUUAAACCUUUUGGUUUUUAAGCUACUUAAAAUUUUCUUUUGACCCCCUGAACGUUUCUAAGUUUUAUAUCUUUACACGUUUAAGGGUAUCGAUUUUAUUAGACGUGGACGUCAUAACAGAUCGCGUCCAUAAUCUUUCAUUCA
RNAcentral lists this unclassified non-coding RNA (272 nucleotides) under Glomus sp. RNAcentral's name for it is "partial contains 5.8S ribosomal RNA and internal transcribed spacer 2". The stretch from base 1 to 65 matches the Rfam family "5.8S ribosomal RNA", at positions 84 to 154 of the family's 154-position model. The record is from RNAcentral. Lineage: Eukaryota; Fungi; Glomeromycota; Glomeromycetes; Glomerales; Glomeraceae.